CCUACGGGAGGCAGCAGUGGGGAAUAUUGGUCAAUGGGCGGAAGCCUGACCCAGCAACGCCGCGUGAGGGAAGAAGGCUCUCGGGUUGUAAACCUCUUUUCUCAGGGACGAAGCAAGUGACGGUACCUGAGGAAUAAGCCACGGCGAACUACGUGCCAGCAGCAGCGGUAAUACGUAGGUGGCAAGCGUUAGCCGGAUUUACUGGGUGUAAAGGGCGUGUAGGCGGGAAAGGAAGUCAGAUGUGAAAACCAUGGGCUCAACCUGUGGCCUGCAUUUGAAACUGUUAUUCUUGAGUAGUGGAGAGGCAGGCGGAAUUCGUAGUGUAGCGGUGAAAUGCGUAGAUAUCAGGAGGAACACCAGUGGCGAAGGCGGUCUGCUGG
RNAcentral lists this ribosomal RNA (380 nucleotides) under uncultured bacterium. Its description in RNAcentral is "partial 16S ribosomal RNA". It matches the Rfam family "Bacterial small subunit ribosomal RNA", at positions 338 to 732 of the family's 1533-position model. The record is from RNAcentral.